GCUCAGUUGGUGAAACGCUCCAUUGGAAAUGGAGAAGUUCCUGGUUCGAUACCAGGACCAGGCG
RNAcentral lists this transfer RNA (64 nucleotides) under Ixodes scapularis (black-legged tick). It matches the Rfam family "tRNA". Rfam says of the family: Transfer RNA (tRNA) molecules are approximately 80 nucleotides in length. Their secondary structure includes four short double-helical elements and three loops (D, anti-codon, and T loops). Further hydrogen bonds mediate the characteristic L-shaped molecular structure. tRNAs have two regions of fundamental functional importance: the anti-codon, which is responsible for specific mRNA codon recognition, and the 3' end, to which the tRNAs corresponding amino acid is attached (by aminoacyl-tRNA synthetases). tRNAs cope with the degeneracy of the genetic code in two manners: having more than one tRNA (with a specific anti-codon) for a particular amino acid; and 'wobble' base-pairing, i.e. permitting non-standard base-pairing at the 3rd anti-codon position. Lineage: Eukaryota; Metazoa; Arthropoda; Arachnida; Ixodida; Ixodidae. The record is from Rfam by way of RNAcentral.